GACGAACGCUGGCGGCGUGCCUAAUACAUGCAAGUUGAGCGCUGAAGGUUGGUACUUGUACCAACUGGAUGAGCAGCGAACGGGUGAGUAACGCGUGGGGAAUCUGCCUUUGAGCGGGGGACAACAUUUGGAAACGAAUGCUAAUACCGCAUAAAAACUUUAAACACAAGUUUUAAGUUUGAAAGAUGCAAUUGCAUCACUCAAAGAUGAUCCCGCGUUGUAUUAGCUAGUUGGUGAGGUAAAGGCUCACCAAGGCGAUGAUACAUAGCCGACCUGAGAGGGUGAUAGGCCACAUUGGGACGGAGACACGGCCCAAACUCCUACGGGAGGCAGCAGUAGGGAAUCGUCGGCAAUGGACGAAAGUCUGACCGAGCAACGCCGCGUGAGUGAAGAAGGUUGUCGGAGCGUAAAAAUCUGUUGGUAGAGAAGAACGUUGGUGAGAGUGGAAAGCGCAUCAAGUGACGGUAACUACCCAGAAAGGGACGGCUAACUACGUG
Molecule: ribosomal RNA, 497 nt
Filed under: uncultured bacterium
Lineage: Bacteria
Description: partial 16S ribosomal RNA
Rfam family: Bacterial small subunit ribosomal RNA
Source: RNAcentral